This 435-nucleotide ribosomal RNA is filed under the name uncultured bacterium. Its description in RNAcentral is "partial 16S ribosomal RNA". It matches the Rfam family "Bacterial small subunit ribosomal RNA", at positions 28 to 507 of the family's 1533-position model. The record is from RNAcentral.
GAUGAACGCUGGCGGUAUGCUUAACACAUGCAAGUCGAACGGACUCUUCGGAGUUAGUGGCGGACGGGUGAGUAACGCGUGAGAAUCUGGCUUUGGGUUCGGGACAACCACUGGAAACGGUGGCUAAUACCGGAUGUGCCGAGAGGUAAAAGAGAAAUUGCCUGAAGAUGAGCUCGCGUCUGAUUAGCUAGUUGGUGAGGUAAAGGCUCACCAAGGCAGCGAUCAGCAGCUGGUCUGAGAGGAUGACCAGCCACACUGGGACUGAGACACGGCCCAGACUCCUACGGGAGGCAGCAGUGGGGAAUUUUCCGCAAUGGGCGAAAGCCUGACGGAGCAAUACCGCGUGAGGGAAGAAGGCUCUUGGGUUGUAAACCUCUUUUCUUAGGGAAGAACAAAAUGACGGUACCUAAGGAAUCAGCAUCGGCCAACUCCGUG